RNAcentral lists this ribosomal RNA (562 nucleotides) under uncultured bacterium. RNAcentral's name for it is "partial 16S ribosomal RNA". It matches the Rfam family "Bacterial small subunit ribosomal RNA", at positions 355 to 1375 of the family's 1533-position model. The record is from RNAcentral.
UGGGGAAUAUUGCACAAUGGGCGAAAGCCUGAUGCAGCAACGCCGCGUGAGUGAUGAAGGCCUUCGGGUUGUAAAGCUCUGUCUUUUGGGACGAUAAUGACGGUACCAAAGGAGGAAGCCACGGCUAACUACGUGCCAGCAGCCGCGGUAAUACGUAGGUGGCAAGCGUUGUCCGGAUUUACUGGGCGUAAAGGAUGCGUAGGCGGAUUUUUAAGUGAGAUGUGAAAUACCCGGGCUUAACUUGGGUGCUGCAUUUCAAACUGGGAAUCUAGAGUGCGGGAGAGGAGAAUGGAAUUCCUAGUGUAGCGGUGAAAUGCGUAGAGAUUAGGAAGAACACCAGUGGCGAAGGCGAUUCUCUGGACCGUAACUGACGCUGAGGCAUGAAAGCGUGGGUAGCAAACAGGAUUAGAUACCCUGGUAGUCCACGCCGUAAACGAUGAGUACUAGGUGUAGGAGGUAUCGACCCCUUCUGUGCCGCAGUUAACACAAUAAGUACCCCGCCUGGGAAGUACGAUCGCAAGAUUAAAACUCAAAGGAAUUGACGGGGUCAUAGCUGUUUCCU